Molecule: long non-coding RNA, 601 nt
Organism: Oreochromis niloticus (Nile tilapia)
Lineage: Eukaryota; Metazoa; Chordata; Actinopteri; Cichliformes; Cichlidae
Exons: 4
Source: RefSeq, a predicted model, not a curated record
GACUCUGUAAUACUGUAAAUGAUCAGUGACUCAGGUGUGGGGAUAAUAUGUAAGACUGCAGUGAAGCGAUGUACCAGAUGAAUCCCUGGCCAAAGAACAGUUCGCCACAGUCGCUGUCCACAUGGGUCAGUGGGACCAAGCAGCACUCUGCUAAUGUGUGGACUCUGACCAGCAACAUCCAGCAAGACCCAGGCAGCGUUUUCUAUCUCCCAGCUGGAGUUUUGUUUGUGACGGGAGAGUCAGAUUUUUGUUGAAGCUGGAGGAACAGCCUCACACUUGCAGAGGUUAAUACACGCUACUGAUCCCUGAUGGGAGAAUCAUCACCUCUGCCAACAAAGAAGCCUGGUGGAUGUUUGUUUGCAGUCUGAUGAUGGGACAUCAUGCUCUGCAUCUUCAAAGUUUGUCUCUUGAUUAUUAUUCAUACACAGUAAUGUGAAGUAUGCUCAUAUCUAGUAUAACUGGACCAACCUGGUGCUCUUCAUUUAUGGAGGCUGUUGAGUCUGAAUGUUGGAUGUUGUGUAUCUCGUGUUCUCUGGGCUUUGUUGUCCUCAGUCUUUUUGCAGGAUCAGAAAACAAAACCAGGAGGCCUGUAAAUGUUUCU